CAAACAUUUCUGUACACUGUAUACAAAAUAUAUUAUAAAAAUGUAUGCAUUGAAUGGGAUUCCGAUCGCAUUAUUCUUGAUUUGUUGACUGCAAUAACAUUAUUUAAUCCAAAACGACAACAAUUAAUACAUAGAGAUGUUAUAAAAUAUCAGCAAAACAUAUACCUAUAUUUGCUUAAACGUUAUCUUCAAAUAAAAUAUGGAUCUGAAUGUGAAGCCAACGAUAAGUUUUGCCGACUUUUAUUGACACUGAGAGACAUUAAUAAAUUGGGACAAAAACAACUUCAAUACAACGUUAAUGUUAAUCCAAAUUAUUA
Molecule: long non-coding RNA, 317 nt
Organism: Oppia nitens
Lineage: Eukaryota; Metazoa; Arthropoda; Arachnida; Sarcoptiformes; Oppiidae
Exons: 3
Source: RefSeq, a predicted model, not a curated record